CCUAGCUCCCUUGCCUUAGUCUGUCUGCCUUGGGCCGCCCCGCCUCCCAGGGGUUGGUUCCCCAUAUCGACUGCCCACUAGAUGGGGGUCCAAGGCACCAUCCAUCCUUCAGAAUGGCUCUGCUCGGUUCCCUGCACCUUCAGGGAAAACCACGCGUCACGCGCCAGGCCUCGGGCCCUAUCUGAACCUCCAGUCGGUCCAAGGGGAGCGCUCCCCCCAUGUGGCAUCGAAAUUGGGAAAUAAGACCCCGAUCACCAAGAAGCCAAGCCUCAGGUGACAAGCUGUGUGACUCCCGUUUAAAUCAGAAGGACCCAUGCAGUCAAGUUGCAUGGUCCCCUCAAGGACAUCCGUUCCUCAGAUUGGCUGAUUGAUGAGAAAGACAUAUUGGACUGUACCCUUUCUCCUUUUGAUUCGUCGUCUUCAGGAGAUAGGGAUUAGUCAGAAAGAAUGCAUUGUUUUCCUACACGUGUUAGGCAUUAUUCCCAGUUGUCUACUGAACUAUGAUGAAGACAAAUAGUCUAAGUUGUUGAGAUCUGUAGGGAGAGGGGGGAAUAUCUGUAGGUGUUAAACAAUUGAGCCACACCUUGGGAGUGGUGCUCUUGGUGGGGAAGGGAGGUUCAGGCAGUGCUUUGGGUAACAGCCCUACAAGAAAUGGAAAAGAAGAGCAUUUCUAGCAAAAAUAAGGCUACUUCACAGACGGAAGACUGGGAUCAAAUCUAGCGUAUUUGAAUGACAGGAAAUAAACCUGCAAAGAUACUAGAGGCUAGAUUCCCUACAGCCUUUUUAACCAAGAAAGGAAUUGGAAAGCUAGUCUACAGUGGAAAGCGUUGAAGACUUAAAAAAAAGGGAAAAUACCCAUAAUUAACUUAAAAAAAAAUAGUAAAGGCUUCCCUGUAGCUAACAAAUUUUACAGAAGUCAAAGAAGAAGCAAGGGAUCUUAUGCUGAGAAACUCAGUUUCCAGUGACCUUGACAUUCUCCAAAAUCUACUAAGUGGUGAGGACAGAAUUCCAGUCUGUCCUGCGGGCACUGGCAGAGGAGCUCGGAAGGGAAACGAACUUUCAUGAAAGACCUAAGAGUCAACAAGCAGCACCAGCCAACUUGAGAACCUGUAACUGAUGGAGGCAGAUACCAGGAAUGCUUUCCUAAGAAGUGCUGGCCCCGGGGUGUGAAAACGGAAGCACUACCACCUGCUCGGCCUCAUAGUCCUUUUCUCUGGAGCCACUGUGAGUCUGUGUAGCAUCCAAAACAUCAAGUGUGCCUGGUCAGAGUAAGAACGAAACUGCAAGUGGUCCUUUAAAGACGUGGUCCAGUGGAGCCAAGAUACUUGGGUGAUAGGCACAUAAAAGAAUUAUGGCCCAGCAACAUUGAAUGAUCACAUCCGGCACUAAAUGUCAUAGUUUAUGCUACAAUCAAGUAAUGAAGUCUGGCCCUGCCUUCCAGUGAAACUGAGCAUACUACACAAAACUGACUCCUGACUUAAUCCCCUGAUGCCAUCCUGACUACAAAGGAAGGCAUCAUCUUUCCUCAGAAGCUUUGGAGCUUUACACCAGCAACCUUGGAUAGCCAAAGCAGAUUCCAGGUCGCUUCCUGUUUGAAACCUUGACUCUCCCCUUGGCUGAGUGGCUGGAUUCCUCCCCGAGCCAUGCUGCAUGAGUGAUGGACCCAGCUGUCAGUUCACUUGUAAGAGCCAUGUCAAGUCCUUGUACACAUCCUUCAGUUCUUAUAUUUGCUUUUUGUUUUGCUUUGUUUAAUGGGCGUAAGUUAAUACAUACUCAUUGUGGUGAAAAUUCAAGAAAGGAAAGUGAAACCCUCUUGUAUUGUGGCUGCUUUGCAUGCAUUAUUACUUGAUAAUAAGCCGAUGUAAGGAUUCAGUAAGUAGAAAGAUAAAAAUUAUAUAGACCAUUUCAAUACAUUAAGGGCUUUCUAAAUUGAAGUGAUGAAGUUUUACAGUAUUUUUGUUUGUUCGUUUCUACUUUGUUUGAAGUUGUGGGGAUCCAACCCUGUCUUGUAUUCUACCACUGAGAUAUCCCCUUAGUCUCUAUGGCUUUGUUCUAAGACUGUACUAUAAGUGUUAAUGUUCCAUUGUUGUAAUAAAAUAUCAUUCAUGACCAAAAACAAUUUAAAAACAAAACAUUAUUUUAGUUUACAGUUCCAGAGGGAUAGAGCCAAUUAAUGGCCUGGUGGCAAGAGCAGGAAGUAGAUCACAUUUUGUUCGCACACAGGAAACAGAGCAAAAGACAGCAAGAAGUGGUGGAGUGAGGUAUAAACCAUCAAAACUUGUGUGUGUGUACAUUUUGUGUGUGUGCAUACUUGUGUACAUACAUACAUGUAUCCAUACAAAUAACAUACUUCUCCCAGCAGGACUCCACUUCCUUAACUUCUCCCAAACAAGAGUCACCGACUGAGCCCAUGGCGGGAGGGACGUUUCUCACUCAGACCACUUGCAAAGGGCCUAUAUAUCUAUUCCAACCUAUUAGAACAUUUAUAACUUAUACAGCGAAUUAUUUUGUAGUAAGUCUCAGGACCUCAGAAACACGACUGCACCAGUAUUAGAAUAUAACACUUAUUAAUGUUUUAAUAUAUAGACGGUGGUCAUUAAAUACUCAAAUGAUU
Molecule: long non-coding RNA, 2614 nt
Organism: Microtus oregoni (creeping vole)
Lineage: Eukaryota; Metazoa; Chordata; Mammalia; Rodentia; Cricetidae
Exons: 3
Source: RefSeq, a predicted model, not a curated record